Molecule: ribosomal RNA, 441 nt
Filed under: uncultured bacterium
Lineage: Bacteria
Description: bacterial SSU rRNA
Rfam family: Bacterial small subunit ribosomal RNA
Source: RNAcentral
GAACGCUGGCGGCAGGCNCUCAAACAUGCAAGNUCUAGCGGGCGUAGCAAUACGUCAGCGGCGGACGGGUGCGUAACACGUGGGAACGUACCCUUUGGUUCGGAACAACGCAGGGAAACUUGCGCUAAUACCGGAUAAGCCCGAAAGGGGAAAGAUUUAUCGCCAAAGGAUCGGCCCGCGUUCGAUUAGCUUGUUGGCGGGGUAAUGGCUCACCAAGGCGACGAUCGGUAGCUGGUCUGAGAGGAUGAUCAGCCACAUUGGGACUGAGACACGGCCCAAACUCCUACGGGAGGCAGCAGUGGGGAAUAUUGGACAAUGGGCGCAAGCCUGAUCCAGCCAUGCCGCGUGAGUGAUGACGGCCUUAGGGUUGUAAAGCUCUUUCGUCAGGGACGAUAAUGACGGUACCUGAAGAAGAAGCCCCGGCUAACUUCGUGCCAGCAG